AACUUCAUUAUUGAUUAAGGUUUCCCACAUGCAUUUUUUUCACAAUAUUUGUUUACUAAUUUCGUGGGUUUAAUUAAUUGAUUCAUCUAUUUGUCGGUGACUCGUAUCAUUUAUUUUUUUAUAUAUUUCGAAAAUAGUGAUUUCAAAUGGCUAAAUUGCUGCAUGGGAAGUGCCGCAAUAGUCGAGUAGGAUUCUCUCUCAUCAUCUUCUCAUUCAUUUUCAUCUUCUCCUCUUACAGAUUGCUUGUUGUUUUCUUGUGGCUGUUAAAAAACUAACACAAAACAUUGACUUGACUUAACCGCAACCAUUCAAAUAGGAGUGGAGAGCAAGCUCCGGGCAAUGGCACAACACAUGUCAUUUCCUUGGCCUGAAUUAUUGUAUCUCAAUGUUGGUUGGUGUCUUGGUGGUGGCAAUUAGGAUGCAUCCAUGUAAUAGUCCAAAUAACAUCUCUUAUAUAUAUUGGUAGUGCUAAUGUACUCAAGAUAAAGUAAACAGUAAUGAUAGGCAAAUCAUUUAUUAGAACAAAUUCAUAAAUUAUGUAUGUGUCAGUAAUAAAAAAUAAGUAUGUCAAUCAAUACUUUAAUAAUAAUUUAAUUAUCAACAAUCACGUUAUAUGAUUUAUAAAUUAUGGUUUAAAUAGAUGGCCUCUCUAACAUUACCCUAAAACAAAUAAUUGAAAAUAUAUAUAUAAUGUAAAUAAGAAAAAUAAGAAAGCGUUAUAAUUUUCUAAUAACAAUUGGGUGACUUUUGAUAUAUUGGGUUCUAAAAUGGAAUAAUAUUCAUCAUCAUUUGUGUUUUUUUCCAAGCUAAAGAACAAAAACUAUAUAAAUUGGGGAAAUGAAUUACCAAAACACUAAUACUAGCUAAUUAUUUCGUUAGGUAUAAUGGGCAUUAUAUGUCACAGCCCGUCCCAUUAUUUAUCGAGGACGUGAAAUGACGGAAUUACCCUUGACGGGUGCUAAGGUAUGUGUGUGUGACAUAUUAUUGGACUAAAUACAUACAUUCCUAAACUUUUGGAAAAUUAUUUAAGUUGGAUUAAAAUUUGGGUUGUAAAUUUGUGUGGUUAGGGAAUGAAGUUGUGACUUGUUUUUGGGUGGACCACACAACACACACAUGGGACAACCCUCUCCCUUCCCCCGUGCUCUCUCUCUCAUCUCCGUUUCAGUCUCUCUCUCUCCCUCUCGAAAUUGUACGGACAAAGGGCCAAGCCCUUGAAUUUUCACGGAUCGACGCCAAAAAGCUAAGGUUCUUCAUCCUUUUGACCUCCUGAGUUGAAUGGUACUAGUUUUAGAACGGGAAACCUUAGAAACGACGUUUAAAACCCGAGGUCCGAUUUGAGUACUGUUCAUGCAUUCGUGAUGUGUUGAUUUUCAGGGAAUUCUAAGCUUAUAGUGAGCUUAGUGAGGUCCUAAGGAAGCUCGGAGUACUUAGUUUGAAGGUUUUGGACGUCGGGAUCGUUGAGUUCGAAGUUGGCCGGUUUUCUUGGAAUUUCUCCGGUGAGAUUUCGUAGUUUUAGAGCCUUAAAGUAGUGUAACAUGAUUCUACAUGCUUAGGGCUUCAUUUUGAUAUAAAACACAUGAAAAAUGGUUGAGAAAUGACGGAGAACAAGGAGAUUGAAAAAUCUCCAGUUUUCCGGCCAUCGGAAAAACCAGUCCGGCGAGCCCAAGGUAGGAGACACGCGUGGGGGCGCGUGACAAGCCCAAAAAUUAUUUUAAAAAUAUGCCGACGUUCGUGACGUCGAGUAGGUCACUAUGGUAUAUUCAUAUACCCAAAUUGAGCAUCGUAUGAGAAAUUAUUACGAAUUGUCGGUUAUGUGCUUUAAAUAACGUUGUUUUAGUUGUUUCGCAUAUAAGUGAUACCUAUCCUGAGGACGAGCGCAUCCAGGGACGUCACGGGGGUUACGACCCUUCGAUUUAUCAGU
This 1921-nucleotide long non-coding RNA is filed under the name Malus domestica (apple). RNAcentral's name for it is "long non-coding RNA (MDOM_LNC006692)". The record is from RNAcentral. Lineage: Eukaryota; Viridiplantae; Streptophyta; Magnoliopsida; Rosales; Rosaceae.